Molecule: ribosomal RNA, 440 nt
Filed under: uncultured bacterium
Lineage: Bacteria
Description: bacterial SSU rRNA
Rfam family: Bacterial small subunit ribosomal RNA
Source: RNAcentral
CCUACGGGAGGCAGCAGUGGGGAAUUUUGGACAAUGGGGGCAACCCUGAUCCAGCAAUGCCGCGUGAGUGAAGAAGGCCUUCGGGUUGUAAAGCUCUUUUGUCAGGGAAGAAAAGGGAAUGGUUAAUACCUGUUCCUGCUGACGGUACCUGAAGAAUAAGCACCGGCUAACUACGUGCCAGCAGCCGCGGUAAUACGUAGGGUGCAAGCGUUAAUCGGAAUUACUGGGCGUAAAGCGUGCGCAGGCGGUUUUGUAAGUCUGUCGUGAAAUCCCCGGGCUUAACCUGGGAAUGGCGAUGGAGACUGCAAGGCUGGAGUUUGGCAGAGGGGGGUAGAAUUCCACGUGUAGCAGUGAAAUGCGUAGAGAUGUGGAGGAACACCGAUGGCGAAGGCAGCCCCCUGGGUCAAGACUGACGCUCAUGCACGAAAGCGUGGGGAGCA